This 247-nucleotide ribosomal RNA is filed under the name uncultured Gardnerella sp. Its description in RNAcentral is "partial 16S ribosomal RNA". It matches the Rfam family "Bacterial small subunit ribosomal RNA", at positions 107 to 355 of the family's 1533-position model. The record is from RNAcentral. Lineage: Bacteria; Bacillati; Actinomycetota; Actinomycetes; Bifidobacteriales; Bifidobacteriaceae.
UAGAGUAAUGCGUGACCAACCUGCCCCAUGCUCCAGAAUAGCUCUUGGAAACGGGUGGUAAUGCUGGAUGCUCCAACUUGACGCAUGUCUUGUUGGGAAAGUGUUUAGUGGCAUGGGAUGGGGUCGCGUCCUAUCAGCUUGUAGGCGGGGUAAUGGCCCACCUAGGCUUCGACGGGUAGCCGGCCUGAGAGGGCGGACGGCCACAUUGGGACUGAGAUACGGCCCAGACUCCUACGGAGGCAGCAGC